AACGAACGCUGGCGGCAUGCCUAACACAUGCAAGUCGAACGAGACCUUCGGGUUUAGUGGCGCACGGGUGCGUAACGCGUGGGAACCUGCCCUUAGGUUCGGAAUAACUGACCGUAAGGGGACCUAAUAACGGUUAAUGUCUUAGGAGCUAAGAUUUAUCGCUAUUGGGUGGGCCCGCGUUGGAUUAGCCAGUUGGUAGGGUAAAAGCCUAUCAAGGGGACGAUCCAUAGCUGGUCUGUGAGGAGGAUCAACAACACUGGGACUGCGGCACAGCCCAGACCGCGACGGGGGGCAGCAGUAGGGAACAUUAGGCACUGAGGGAAAGCCUGGUCCAGCAAUGCCGCGGGAGUGAGGAAGGCCUUAGGGUUGUAAAGCUCUUUUACCCGAGAUGAUAAUGACAGUACCGGGAGAAUAAGCUCCGGCUAACUCCGUG
This 433-nucleotide ribosomal RNA is filed under the name uncultured bacterium. RNAcentral describes it as "partial 16S ribosomal RNA". It matches the Rfam family "Bacterial small subunit ribosomal RNA", at positions 29 to 507 of the family's 1533-position model. The record is from RNAcentral.